AGAGUGAACGCUGGCGGCAGGCCUAACACAUGCAAGUCGAGCGGCAGCGCGGGUAGCAAUACCUGGCGGCGAGCGGCGCACGGGUGAGUAACACGUGAAUAAUCUACCUCCGAGUGGGGAAUAACUGAGAGAAAUCUUAGCUAAUACCGCAUAACACUUACGAGUCAAAGCAGCAAUGCGCUUGGAGAGGAGUUCGCGGCAGAUUAGUUAGUUGGCGGGGUAAUGGCCCACCAAGACGAUGAUCUGUA
RNAcentral lists this ribosomal RNA (248 nucleotides) under uncultured bacterium. RNAcentral describes it as "partial small subunit ribosomal RNA". It matches the Rfam family "Bacterial small subunit ribosomal RNA", at positions 26 to 285 of the family's 1533-position model. The record is from RNAcentral.